This 248-nucleotide ribosomal RNA is filed under the name uncultured bacterium. Its description in RNAcentral is "partial 16S ribosomal RNA". It matches the Rfam family "Bacterial small subunit ribosomal RNA", at positions 523 to 769 of the family's 1533-position model. The record is from RNAcentral.
AUACGAAGGGGGCUAGCGUUGCUCGGAAUUACUGGGCGUAAAGGGAGCGUAGGCGGUACUGUUUAGUCAGAGGUGAAAGCCCAGGGCUCAACCUUGGAGUUGCCUUUGAUACUGGCAGUCUUGAGUAUGGGAGAGGUGAGUGGAACUCCGAGUGUAGAGGUGAAAUUCGUAGAUAUUCGGAAGAACACCAGUGGCGAAGGCGACUCACUGGCCCAUUACUGACGCUGAGGCUCGAAAGCGUGGGGAGC